RNAcentral lists this non-coding RNA (135 nucleotides) under unclassified sequences. RNAcentral's name for it is "Bacteriophage Diversity-Generating Retroelement RNA". It matches the Rfam family "Bacteriophage Diversity-Generating Retroelement RNA". The record is from Rfam by way of RNAcentral.
GCUCUGCCGUUGGUGACUCGGCAGGCCGAUCACUUUUCUUGUGGUCAGCCGUUUAUUCCUGCUUUGGCAAAUACACUACGCGGUUCGUCAGAAGGGGGAGUAGCCUUUGUUGAUUGGUCGAAACCCCUGGACGGC